RNAcentral lists this ribosomal RNA (433 nucleotides) under uncultured bacterium. RNAcentral describes it as "partial 16S ribosomal RNA". It matches the Rfam family "Bacterial small subunit ribosomal RNA", at positions 29 to 507 of the family's 1533-position model. The record is from RNAcentral.
AACGAACGCUGGCGGCAUGCCUAACACAUGCAAGUCGAACGAGACCUUCGGGUCUAGUGGCGCACGGGUGCGUAACGCGUGGGAACCUGCCCUUAGGUUCGGAAUAACUCCCCGAAAGGGGUGCUAAUACCGGAUAAUGUCUUCGGACCAAAGAUUUAUCGCCUUUGGAUGGGCCCGCGUUGGAUUAGCCAGUUGGUAGGGUAAAAGCCUACCAAGGCGACGAUCCAUAGCUGGUCUGAGAGGAGGAUCAGCCACACUGGGACUGAGACACGGCCCAGACUCCUACGGGAGGCAGCAGUGGGGAAUAGUGGACAAUGGGCGAAAGCCUGAUCCAGCAAUGCCGCGUGAGUGAUGAAGGCCUUAGGGUUGUAAAGCUCUUUUAGCCGGGAUGAUAAUGACAGUACCGGGAGAAUAAGCGCCGGCUAACUCCGUG